Molecule: ribosomal RNA, 466 nt
Filed under: uncultured bacterium
Lineage: Bacteria
Description: bacterial SSU rRNA
Rfam family: Bacterial small subunit ribosomal RNA
Source: RNAcentral
ACCCCAGACUCCUACGGGAGGCAGCAGUGAGGAAUAUUGGUCAAUGGUCGGGAGACUGAACCAGCCAAGCCGCGUGAGGGAGGAAGGUACAGAGUAUCGUAAACCUCUUUUGUCAGGGAACAAAGACUGGGACGCGUCCCCGGAUGAGUGUACCUGAAGAAAAAGCAUCGGCUAACUCCGUGCCAGCAGCCGCGGUAAUACGGAGGAUGCGAGCGUUAUCCGGAUUUAUUGGGUUUAAAGGGUGCGUAGGCGGAGUGUCAAGUCAGCGGUAAAAUUUCGGGGCUCAACCCCGUCGUGCCGUUGAAACUGGGGAUCUAGAGUGUGCGAGAGGUAUGCGGAAUGCGUGGUGUAGCGGUGAAAUGCAUAGAUAUCACGCAGAACCCCGAUUGCGAAGGCAGCAUACCGGUGCACAACUGACGCUCAGGCACGAAAGCGUGGGUAUCGAACAGGAUUAGAUACCCCUGUA